RNAcentral lists this ribosomal RNA (238 nucleotides) under uncultured bacterium. Its description in RNAcentral is "partial 16S ribosomal RNA". It matches the Rfam family "Bacterial small subunit ribosomal RNA", at positions 118 to 353 of the family's 1533-position model. The record is from RNAcentral.
UGAGCAAUCUGCCCUUCUCUUCGGAAUAAGCGUGGGAAACCGCGUCUAAUGCCGAAUACGACCUCCUUUCGCAUGAUCGGAGGUGGAAAGCUCCGGCGGAGAAGGAUGAGCUCGCGGCCUAUCAGCUAGUUGGUGUGGGUAACGGCCCACCAAGGCGACGACGGGUAGCCGGCCUGAGGAGGGUGACCGGCCACACUGGGACUGAGACACGGCCCAGACCUCCGUACGGGAGGNAGCG